UUGACAUCCUUUGAAAACUCUAGAGAUAGAGCCUUCCCCUUCGGGGGACAAAGUGACAGGUGGUGCAUGGUUGUCGUCAGCUCGUGUCGUGAGAUGUUGGGUUAAGUCCCGCAACGAGCGCAACCCUUAAGCUUAGUUGCCAUCAUUAAGUUGGGCACUCUAGGUUGACUGCCGGUGACAAACCGGAGGAAGGUGGGGAUGACGUCAAAUCAUCAUGCCCCUUAUGAUUUGGGCUACACACGUGCUACAAUGGACAAUACAAAGGGCAGCUAAACCGCGAGGUCAUGCAAAUCCCAUAAAGUUGUUCUCAGUUCGGAUUGUAGUCUGCAACUCGACUACAUGAAGCUGGAAUCGCUAGUAAUCGUAGAUCAGCAUGCUACGGUGAAUACGUUCCCGGGUCUUGUACACACCGCCCGUCACACCACGAGAGUUUGUAACACCCGAAGCCGG
Molecule: ribosomal RNA, 450 nt
Filed under: Staphylococcus xylosus
Lineage: Bacteria; Bacillati; Bacillota; Bacilli; Caryophanales; Staphylococcaceae
Description: bacterial SSU rRNA
Rfam family: Bacterial small subunit ribosomal RNA
Source: RNAcentral